ACCAGUUAUGCUUGAAGCUUUUUAUACAUAUGUUUUACCUCAAUAAAUAAUUCUUUAUGGCUACAACUUCGCAUUAUGCGAAUUAUUUAAUUAAAAAAAUUAGGAUAUUAUUAUGUCUAAAACAACUGGUAUCGUUAAGUGGUUUAACGAAGAGAAAGGUUUCGGCUUCAUUACUCAAGAUAACGGCGGCGCUGACGUAUUCGUUCACUUCCGUGCUAUCGCUUCUGAAGGUUUCAAAACUUUGAAAGAAGGCCAAAAGGUUUCUUUCACAGUAGAACAAGGCCAAAAAGGCCCACAAGCAGCUGACGUUGUUGGUGAGUAAUUCGAACUUUCGAAUUAAAUUUUAAA
RNAcentral lists this small RNA (348 nucleotides) under uncultured Aliivibrio sp. RNAcentral describes it as "cspA thermoregulator". It matches the Rfam family "cspA thermoregulator", at positions 53 to 401 of the family's 428-position model. Lineage: Bacteria; Pseudomonadati; Pseudomonadota; Gammaproteobacteria; Vibrionales; Vibrionaceae. The record is from RNAcentral.